RNAcentral lists this ribosomal RNA (262 nucleotides) under uncultured bacterium. RNAcentral describes it as "partial 16S ribosomal RNA". It matches the Rfam family "Bacterial small subunit ribosomal RNA", at positions 524 to 784 of the family's 1533-position model. The record is from RNAcentral.
GACGAAGGACCCCAAGCGUUAUCCGGAUUCAUUGGGUUUAAAGGGUGCGUAGGCGGGUUGAUAAGUCAGUGGUGAAAGCCCAACGCUUAACGUUGGAACUGCCAUUGAUACUGUCGAUCUUGAAUGUGUUUGAUGUGGGCGGAAUAUGACAUGUAGCGGUGAAAUGCUUAGAUAUGUCAUAGAACACCGAUUGCGAAGGCAGCUCACAAAGCCAUAAUUGACGCUGAAGCACGAAAGCGUGGGGAUCAAACAGGAUUAGAUA